Molecule: long non-coding RNA, 834 nt
Filed under: Brassica napus (rape)
Lineage: Eukaryota; Viridiplantae; Streptophyta; Magnoliopsida; Brassicales; Brassicaceae
Description: long non-coding RNA (BNAP_LNC017673)
Source: RNAcentral
CAAAAUUUAUCUAAGAAAAUGAGCAAUUCAUGCAUACAAUGCUUUGUUCUCAUCAUUCUUCCAUUUUCUUAAGUAGUAUCAAGUUCUACCCAUAGAGGCAUAGCGAGUGGUCAAGGUGGGCCAAAACAGCUUUGGAAAGCUGUGGGUUAUGGAGCAGUCAUGGAAAGGAGAAGCCUUUACAAGAAAUGACUGCAAAUGAAGGUCAGGCGUGGAGCCUGAGGUCUAAAGAAAGAGCUGUUCAAGGAAACUUUUCUCCACUCACUUAUUGUUUCUGUGAUUCUCUUUUUUUUUAAGGGGGUUCUAUUUAUACUCUAGAGCUUCUCUUUUCUAACUUUCUUUGUCCCUAGGGGUUUCUUCACUUUAAGCACUCUUUUUGGUUCAUUUUUUUCUCACUCAAUCUCUCUCGUUCCCAAGAUCAAAAGAAUUUUAAAUUCACAAACCCAACAACCAUCCUAGAGGCUAGCUCAAAUGAGGUCCUAAUGCUAGCCACAGAUGAGAACAACCCAUUGUCGCUCCUAAUACUCUCAAGAUUUUGCACGUGACAUGCUAUCAAUAAAAGGCCUCACUCAUACAAAUUAAUGUUGGCUUCAAAGAAUAGUGAGGGUUAAAGGGUAUGAGAGUGCCAUUUGAGUUAACAAAGAUUGGUACAAAGAGAGAAAGAUAACCCAAAUGUGUAUAAUAUCCAUGAUCAAGUGUGCAAAUGCCCAUAUGCAAGAGAGAUUAAGUUCAUUAAGCCUUAGUUCAUUUGGAGUUGGUUUCAAGAACAAUGUCAAUCAUCAAGCAAGUAACAAGUUUCAAGAAGAGUUUUCAAGGCUCGAAGCUUACAAGCUUUUU